CCCUUAGAUGGUCUGGACGGCACGCGCGCUACAAUGAUGCAUUCAAAAAGUCUUCUGACCUUAGAAGGUUGGGUAUUCUCCAAAGUGCAUCGUGAUGGGAAUAGUUUAUUGCAAUUUUUAAUCUUGAACGAGGAAUUCCUAGUAAGUACAGGUCAUCAACUUGUGUUGAUUACGUCCCUGCCCUUUGUACACACCGCCCGUCGCUCCUACUGAUUGAGUGUCUCGGUGAAUUCUUUGAUCUUCUGUCGAUUCAGUUCACUGAUCCGACGGUGGAAAGUUGAAUGAACUUCGUCACUUAGAGGAAGGAGAAGUCGUAACA
This 319-nucleotide ribosomal RNA is filed under the name uncultured eukaryote. Its description in RNAcentral is "partial 18S ribosomal RNA". It matches the Rfam family "Eukaryotic small subunit ribosomal RNA", at positions 1470 to 1796 of the family's 1831-position model. The record is from RNAcentral.